GAACGACGCUGGCGCAGGCCUAACACAUGCAAGUCGAGCGAGACCUUCGGGGUCUAGCGGCGACGGGUGAGUAACGCGUGGGAACGUGCCCUUUGGUUCGGAAUAGCCCCGGGAAACUGGGAGUAAUACCGGAUAAGCCCUACGGGGGAAAGAUUUAUCGCCAAAGGAUCGGCCCGCAUUUGAUUAGUUAGUUGGUGAGGUAAUGGCUCACCAAGACAAUGAUCAAUAGCUGAUCUGAGAGGAUGAUCAGCCACACUGGGACUGAGACACGGCCCAGACUCCUACGGGAGGCAGCAGUGGGGAAUCUUGCACAAUGGAGGAAACUCUGAUGCAGCGAUGCCGCGUGAGUGAAGAAGGCCUUUGGGUUGUAAAGCUCUUUUGUAGGGGAAGAUAAUGACUGUACCCUAAGAAUAAGGUCCGGCUAACUUCGUG
Molecule: ribosomal RNA, 432 nt
Filed under: uncultured bacterium
Lineage: Bacteria
Description: bacterial SSU rRNA
Rfam family: Bacterial small subunit ribosomal RNA
Source: RNAcentral